UGUAGAAAUGAAAAUUUUCUAUCAGCCGUAUUCACCAUCCCGAAUUUGUAGAUCGUCAAUCAAAAGGAAAACACAGAUUUCUAGCACUCGGAAGAAAGCGAAAAACAUGAACAAUCCUUAACAAUACUGUCCAUGUAUAUUUAGAUAACUUUUAAAAAAAAUAUAUAAAGCUUUACACUGUAACAGUCAGAUUCCGGUAAUAGUUACAAGACUGUGACGUCACACUCGAGUAAGCCGUCUGACGCGUCUGACGUAUGCAAGACAGCGAAUGUGAAAGUACAUAGAAACUCUACAGACUGAUGAGAAUUACUUUAGACGGGGUACGUCAACGAAUAGGCACGACAGCGAAAAUACGGAAGUCACUUCGGGGACGUGUUGCAGAAUCGCAUAACUCUACACGAGAUUAAAAGAAAGAAAGAAAAGACAAUGAAGACAACCAUGUAAAAACAAAUUCAAUCAAUUAAAUUAUCAGCAGAUUGAAA
This is a long non-coding RNA of Ostrea edulis (European flat oyster), 482 nucleotides long. RefSeq lists it as uncharacterized. NCBI's taxonomy places the organism in Eukaryota, Metazoa, Mollusca, Bivalvia, Ostreida, Ostreidae. The transcript is spliced from 3 exons. The record is from RefSeq and is a predicted model, not a curated record.